RNAcentral lists this ribosomal RNA (708 nucleotides) under Fusarium oxysporum f. sp. lycopersici. RNAcentral describes it as "eukaryotic LSU rRNA". The stretch from base 416 to 569 matches the Rfam family "5.8S ribosomal RNA". The record is from RNAcentral. Lineage: Eukaryota; Fungi; Ascomycota; Sordariomycetes; Hypocreales; Nectriaceae.
UUCUGCAAUUCACAUUACUUAUCGCAUUUUGCUGCGUUCUUCAUCGAUGCCAGAACCAAGAGAUCCGUUGUUGAAAGUUUUGAUUUAUUUGUUUGUUUUACUCAGAAGUUCCACUAAAAACAGAGUUUAGGGUCCUCGGGCGGGCCGUCCCGUUUUACGGGGCGCGGGCUGAUCCGCCGAGGCAACGUAUAGGUAUGUUCACAGGGGUUUGGGAGUUGUAAACUCGGUAAUGAUCCCUUCGUAGGUGAACGUGAGGAGGGAUCAUUACCGAGUUUACAACUCCCAAACCCCUGUGAACAUACCUAUACGUUGCCUCGGCGGAUCAGCCCGCGCCCCGUAAAACGGGACGGCCCGCCCGAGGACCCUAAACUCUGUUUUUAGUGGAACUUCUGAGUAAAACAAACAAAUAAAUCAAAACUUUCAACAACGGAUCUCUUGGUUCUGGCAUCGAUGAAGAACGCAGCAAAAUGCGAUAAGUAAUGUGAAUUGCAGAAUUCAGUGAAUCAUCGAAUCUUUGAACGCACAUUGCGCCCGCCAGUAUUCUGGCGGGCAUGCCUGUUCGAGCGUCAUUUCAACCCUCAAGCUCAGCUUGGUGUUGGGACUCGCGGUAACCCGCGUUCCCCAAAUCGAUUGGCGGUCACGUCGAGCUUCCAUAGCGUAGUAAUCAUACACCUCGUUACUGGUAAUCGUCGCGGCCACGCCGUAAAA